AGCUCUGUGUCUUGGCUUUCACUCGCUGAAGUCUGCUUCUAGGCAGUGCUCCUCCUAGUGCUGUUGACGUUAACUUUUGCCCUGUGAACCCUGAUGCGGUGUAGCUGCAUGGGUCUGGGCUGAAUGCUGGGGGUGGUCAGGGAGGAUAAAGGGAAGAAAAGCCAAAAAGCUGCUGCAGCUCUGCUUCUCCUGCUGUGCUUUGACACGUCUGUGGCAGUGCGGGCAGCAGCUCCGAGGCCUGGUGGGCCUGCCCACAGUGAACGUCCCCACCACAAUGACGUGUGGCUGGUUGAGGGCUGGUGCCAGGCGGUGCAGGCCAGCCUGGGCCCAUUCUGCAAGUGGUGCUGGGGCUCUGCGGAGGCUGGGGCAGGGUGCUGGGGCUGGAGGAGCUCAGCCAGGUGUGAGCAAACCCCGAGGAGCGAGCCCUUGGCUCCGUGGACUUGCAGGGACUGGCUGAGCUCCAGCAUGGCAGCGGCCAUGAUGGCCUUAUGGAUGCUGCCAGAGGAAAGGGGCUGUCGUCUUGCAUGAGUGCACGUGAAGGGUGAUGCUGGAGAGGACACAAAUGAGCUAUUCAAGCUUUUUUUUUUUUUUUUUUUUUCUCCUUCUGCUGGCAUUGGCCUGUGGUCUGGACACUGCCUUGAUCUACACGGAUGUGUCUGGCUGUGAGCAUUUUUGAUGACACUCGCGCUGAGAGCAAGGCAUCUUGUCAGAGGCUCAAGGUGCCCCACUCUGCUCCCAGGACGUGGAGCGUGCCCUGACCCUGGAUGAAAAGGCACAGAAAGGGCUAGCACUUCAAAUUACAAAUCUGGUUUGGUGACCUUCUCAGCACAGUAUAGAAAGGCUUUGGACUUUGAAAGGACUGAAAGCAAAUGACGCCCACGGGAAAGAAGAGACGGAGAGGUGUAGCCUGAGUUGCUGAGGAGCCUUGGCGGUGCUGCCAAAUGUCUCCUGUGAGCCUUGCCCAGCAGAGCAGACACCGGAGCCUGGACUGCUCCUGUGCUUCACAGAGGCUUGUGCUUGUUCGGGGCAGGUUUCAGCACAGACAGGGGCUGCUUGGGGCCAUUUGAGGCCUUUAAAAAAUUCUUACCAUCAGCUGGAAGAACAUACCUCAUGAGGUGUUGAAAAGAAAUCCUUGGAAGCAUGAAAUAAAGAGGAGAGGGGAAACAAAGCAGUGGGUUCAGCUAGUCCACGGGGUGACCUGUGUGGCUCCCAGGGCGCUCAGCCGGUGCUGGGCUGGUCGCCGCAGCGAUGAGCGGUCCCCACACAAGUGCGGUACGAUGCAGCGAUGGUGAGCACACGAGCCCUGCGCACGUGUGGAGCAGGGGCUUGGUUUCUGCCGUCCCCUCGCUUCUGCAUUUUUAUCCCCAGCACAAGACUGGCACAAGACUGGCAGCUCCUUCUGUGUGCACGAGCUGCCGCAAUCGCUGCGGCUUCCCACUUGUGUUUUUUUUUCUUUUCUCUGGAAGACUCGGUUGGUUGUCAGCGCCUGUCUGCCUGCUGAGUAACUUGCAUAUUGGGAAAGCACGAGAGAAAAAUCCUCUUCUUAGACCUAGGUGAAAUCUUUCCAGCAAAGAGUGAACUUAAAGAAAGGAACCUGAGGGACCAAAGCUGUCUGUGAAAUUGGACUGAAGUCUGGAUGAGGAAAGAGAUGCUAGGAACUGGGUCUUUGAACACGCUGGAUGCUUUAGGAGUGCUUUUCAUGGAAAUGUAGUUUUGAAAUAGCUUUUUUUUUUUUUUUUUCACCUAAAUUUUUGCAUUAUUUUUGUUUUAUUUUUAUUAUUUUUUUUAAUAAUUUGUACCAAAGAAAACCGUGAAAACCUGGCCCAGGGAAUUUUGACUGCAUUAGAAAACAAACAAGCUAUAUUUCUAUUCUAUCUCCAAAUCUUUGAGUUGGCGACUGAAUCGAGAGCUUUGAUCUGCCAGCAAGAAGGAGGACAUGCAGAUGCCUGCGGGUCCUCCCUCAGCCCUGAAGCUCUCCACCCUCUCCAUUGCUGGGCUCUGGGCACCGCGCAGGCCUGCGGACGUGGGAGCUGGCUGCUUGUCCUGCUUGCAAUGCUCACACCCCAGCCUGAACAGAAAGCGAGCCUUAUUUUUUUUGAUCCUGUAACUGUUAGGAUGCGUUUCAGCUCUCCACGCUGACUCACUGCUCUGGCACCGAGCCAGUUUAUUUAUAUGAUUCCCCCCCUCAUUACCAUACGUGCCUCAGAAAGCAGCUGUGCUUAUAACACUUCUUCAAUAAACAAACUAAAUUAUGGACUUCAGAGGACGAUCCUAAGUCGCUCGGCUCUCCUGUGCCCUGGGCUAGAGCUGCAGCUGCCAGGUUUGGAGAGCCUCCCUGGGAGCCUCAGGGCCACUGAGGCCUCUGGCUGGUGAGGAUCUGAGUCUGGUCCCAGAUCCGUAACUAACUUUUACCUUGGCUAAACUUUUUCCCAUUUCCUCCAUCCUCAGCCCACACUUUUGUGGAUCCAGUCAGGAGGAGGACAUAGCCGUAAUUCCUUCUCAUCAGCUUUGUUUCCCAGACCUGAUCAUUUAUAAAUCCAUCAGUAAGACAAGUUUGUACAGUUAAGGCACUUGGUGACUCUUGAAACCCAUUUCUGCUGUGCUGCAGCAGAAGUACGCGGGUUCUGGAUAGAUGUCCUGAGACACACCAGAGGAGACUCCCACCUUAAAGACUUUCAUGCUAUGGAUGCCCUUUCGCACCCAGGUGCUGCUGCAAAGAUCCAGAUUUCUUACCCCUAAGUGCUUCCCCCCACACUGUCCAGUUCACAGGAGCCAUUUGCGACCCAAAGCGAUAGCUCUUCGUAGAGCUAGAACAUUUUAAGGAAGUCCCACAGCCAAUGGUCAGAGCUGCCUCCCCGUUGCUGUUAUCCGGAGCCUGUGUGGAGGCCUUUUCCCAAAAGGAAAUGGGGGCGGGUGGUGAUUAAUCCUCCAAACUUACCGAAACCUAUCUCACCCUGGGACAAGCACGGAGGCAGGAUCUGACAGUAGCAUGAAGCAUCCCCUCGGCGGUGCUCCCCAGCCCUGCAGGGUGAGCACGAGCUCCCCGGAGCUUCCUGGCUGCGCUCCCAGCCCCGGUGACUGGUUUGGGCUCUGGGCAAAGCCUCUUAUCUGCCUCGCUUUGUCAGCCUGUGAAAUGGGCAUGAGGCAUACUUCGGGCAUGCCGUUUGGU
Molecule: long non-coding RNA, 3169 nt
Organism: Oxyura jamaicensis (ruddy duck)
Lineage: Eukaryota; Metazoa; Chordata; Aves; Anseriformes; Anatidae
Exons: 3
Source: RefSeq, a predicted model, not a curated record